Hyaena hyaena (striped hyena) is the source of this 413-nucleotide long non-coding RNA. RefSeq lists it as uncharacterized. The transcript is spliced from 3 exons. Lineage: Eukaryota; Metazoa; Chordata; Mammalia; Carnivora; Hyaenidae. The record is from RefSeq and is a predicted model, not a curated record.
GUCCAGCACAUAACUGACUGAGCCACCCAUGUGCCUCCCACUAUUCUAGAUUCUGAUCUCUGAUGAAGUAAGCUUUAAUGUUGAGAGCUGCACUAUGGAAAGGGCCAUGUGGAAAGGUAUUCAAGGUGUUCUCCAGUCAUCAUCCAGUGAAGAACUACUGACUCUCAGUCUACUGACCCAUGAGGAUAUGAAUCUUGCCAAUAACUUGUAAAUGAUCUUGGAAGAAUACCUACCCCAUUCAAUUCUUAAGUUGACUGUAGCACAGGAUGAUGUCUAUUACAGCCUUGUGAAAGGCACAAAGCCAGAGAACUGACAGAUAUUCCCUAAAUGCAUUUAUUUCAUGAGUUUGUCCCUCAUUAAUUACAGUUGGCAAUGGAUUCAUUGUAAGAUUAACUAAGCAAAGCCAAGGCCAU